Long non-coding RNA from Sapajus apella (tufted capuchin), 247 nucleotides. RefSeq lists it as uncharacterized. The transcript is spliced from 2 exons. The record is from RefSeq and is a predicted model, not a curated record. Lineage: Eukaryota; Metazoa; Chordata; Mammalia; Primates; Cebidae.
CUGACCCUCCAGCUCUGGGAGAGGAGCCCAGCCCUGGGAUUUUCAGGUGUUUGCAUUUGGUGAUCACGAAUGAACACAGAGACUGAACUCACCAUGGAGACUGUGCUGAGUUAGAUUUUACUUCUUGCUAUUUUGAAAGGUGUCCAGUGUGAGGUGCAGCUGGUGGAGUCUGGGGGAGGCUUGGUUCAGCCUGGGGGGACCCUGAGACUCUCCUGUGCAGCCUCUGGAUUCACCUUCAGCAGCUAUG